RNAcentral lists this ribosomal RNA (1500 nucleotides) under metagenome. Its description in RNAcentral is "bacterial SSU rRNA". It matches the Rfam family "Bacterial small subunit ribosomal RNA". The record is from RNAcentral.
AGAGUUUGACCAUGGCUCAGAUUGAACGCUGGCGGCAGGCCUAACACAUGCAAGUCGAACGGUAACAGGAAGCAGCUUGCUGCUUCGCUGACGAGUGGCGGACGGGUGAGUAAUGUCUGGGAAGCUGCCUGAUGGAGGGGGAUAACUACUGGAAACGGUAGCUAAUACCGCAUAAUGUCGCAAGACCAAAGAGGGGGACCUUCGGGCCUCUUGCCAUCGGAUGUGCCCAGAUGGGAUUAGCUUGUUGGUGGGGUAACGGCUCACCAAGGCGACGAUCCCUAGCUGGUCUGAGAGGAUGACCAGCCACACUGGAACUGAGACACGGUCCAGACUCCUACGGGAGGCAGCAGUGGGGAAUAUUGCACAAUGGGCGCAAGCCUGAUGCAGCCAUGCCGCGUGUAUGAAGAAGGCCUUCGGGUUGUAAAGUACUUUCAGCGGGGAGGAAGGGAGUAAAGUUAAUACCUUUGCUCAUUGACGUUACCCGCAGAAGAAGCACCGGCUAACUCCGUGCCAGCAGCCGCGGUAAUACGGAGGGUGCAAGCGUUAAUCGGAAUUACUGGGCGUAAAGCGCACGCAGGCGGUUUGUUAAGUCAGAUGUGAAAUCCCCGGGCUCAACCUGGGAACUGCAUCUGAUACUGGCAAGCUUGAGUCUCGUAGAGGGGGGUAGAAUUCCAGGUGUAGCGGUGAAAUGCGUAGAGAUCUGGAGGAAUACCGGUGGCGAAGGCGGCCCCCUGGACGAAGACUGACGCUCAGGUGCGAAAGCGUGGGGAGCAAACAGGAUUAGAUACCCUGGUAGUCCACGUCGUAAACGAUGUCGACUUGGAGAUUGUGCCCUUGAGGCGUGGCUUCCGGAGCUAACGCGUUAAGUCGACCGCCUGGGGAGUACGGCCGCAAGGUUAAAACUCAAAUGAAUUGACGGGGGCCCGCACAAGCGGUGGAGCAUGUGGUUUAAUUCGAUGCAACGCGAAGAACCUUACCUGGUCUUGACAUCCACGGAAGUUUUCAGAGAUGAGAAUGUGCCUUCGGGAACCGUGAGACAGGUGCUGCAUGGCUGUCGUCAGCUCGUGUUGUGAAAUGUUGGGUUAAGUCCCGCAACGAGCGCAACCCUUAUCCUUUGUUGCCAGCGGUCCGGCCGGGAACUCAAAGGAGACUGCCAGUGAUAAACUGGAGGAAGGUGGGGAUGACGUCAAGUCAUCAUGGCCCUUACGACCAGGGCUACACACGUGCUACAAUGGCGCAUACAAAGAGAAGCGACCUCGCGAGAGCAAGCGGACCUCAUAAAGUGCGUCGUAGUCCGGAUUGGAGUCUGCAACUCGACUCCAUGAAGUCGGAAUCGCUAGUAAUCGUGGAUCAGAAUGCCACGGUGAAUACGUUCCCGGGCCUUGUACACACCGCCCGUCACACCAUGGGAGUGGGUUGCAAAAGAAGUAGGUAGCUUAACCUUCGGGAGGGCGCUUACCACUUUGUGAUUCAUGACUGGGGUGAAGUCGGAACAAGGUA